This 496-nucleotide ribosomal RNA is filed under the name uncultured bacterium. RNAcentral's name for it is "partial 16S ribosomal RNA". It matches the Rfam family "Bacterial small subunit ribosomal RNA", at positions 29 to 507 of the family's 1533-position model. The record is from RNAcentral.
AUGCACGCUGGCGGCGUGCCUAAUACCUGCAAGUCGCGCGAACAGACGAGGAGCUUGCUCCUCUGACGUUAGCGGCGGACGGGUGAGUAACACGUGGAUAACCUACCUAUAAGACUGGGAUAACUUCGGGAAACCGGAGCUAAUACCGGAUAAUAUAUUGAACCGCAUGGUUCAAUAGUGAAAGACGGUUUUGCUGUCACUUAUAGAUGGAUCCGCGCCGCAUUAGCUAGUUGGUAAGGUAACGGCUUACCAAGGCAACGAUGCGUAGCCGACCUGAGAGGGUGAUCGGCCACACUGGAACUGAGACACGGUCCAGACUCCUACGGGAGGCAGCAGUAGGGAAUCUUCCGCAAUGGGCGAAAGCCUGACGGAGCAGCGCCGCGUGAGUGAUGAAGGUCUUCGGAUCGUAAAACUCUGUUAUUAGGGAAGAACAAAUGUGUAAGUAACUAUGCACGUCUUGACGGUACCUAAUCAGAAAGCCACGGCUAACUACGUG